GGCAGCUUUUGCCUUAGCAAAUG
Molecule: microRNA, 23 nt
Filed under: Eisenia fetida (common brandling worm)
Lineage: Eukaryota; Metazoa; Annelida; Clitellata; Crassiclitellata; Lumbricidae
Description: Efe-Mir-2705_5p* (star (passenger))
Source: RNAcentral